GGCCUCGUGGCCCAAUGGCAAGGCGUCUGACUACGAUGAAUAAGUGUAAUCAGGAGAUUCUGGGUUCGACCCCCAGCGAGGUCA
RNAcentral lists this transfer RNA (84 nucleotides) under Xylaria palmicola. RNAcentral's name for it is "tRNA-Arg". It matches the Rfam family "tRNA". From Rfam's summary of the family: Transfer RNA (tRNA) molecules are approximately 80 nucleotides in length. The record is from RNAcentral. Lineage: Eukaryota; Fungi; Ascomycota; Sordariomycetes; Xylariales; Xylariaceae.